This 183-nucleotide ribosomal RNA is filed under the name Triticum aestivum (bread wheat). Its description in RNAcentral is "partial small subunit ribosomal RNA". Lineage: Eukaryota; Viridiplantae; Streptophyta; Magnoliopsida; Poales; Poaceae. The record is from RNAcentral.
AUGCCAUGGAAAGCGAUGGCCUCACUCACUAUUUUGAUCGUGUGGGAUGUUUGGAAUGAGUGAAAAACAUGUAACUUCCGUUACCUUUCCACCAUGCCCAAUUCUGUCUUCUAGAAGAUCAAGUCUAAGGCAGUCUCAUCGGCCUUAGUAGGGGCAAAGCAUUUGAGUUCUAUAAUGGCAUGA